UGCUGGUGAAACACCAAGCAUAUGAUUCUCUCUAUCUCUCCCUACCUCUGUGCAUUCUCAAGUGCGCAUCCAUGCAAGUAUCAGGGACAUAAAAAAGAGCUGUUAUAGAAAAUGUUAGUAAAUUAUUUGGACAGCUCCCUUGCGCCGUUAUUUUCUAUGUAUUUCUUUUGUUCAUUAUGCGUGAGGCUAUUUUCAGAGUCAUAU
Molecule: unclassified non-coding RNA, 204 nt
Filed under: Hevea brasiliensis (rubber tree)
Lineage: Eukaryota; Viridiplantae; Streptophyta; Magnoliopsida; Malpighiales; Euphorbiaceae
Source: RNAcentral